Molecule: long non-coding RNA, 209 nt
Organism: Spea bombifrons (plains spadefoot toad)
Lineage: Eukaryota; Metazoa; Chordata; Amphibia; Anura; Pelobatidae
Exons: 2
Source: RefSeq, a predicted model, not a curated record
GGGCAAUGUUUACUUUAUUCGAAGUUGCUUCCUAUUGCCUCUGCUUGUUACCAACUGGCAAACUUAUGUUUUAUCAGAGAAGAGUGGAAGGCAUACUUGUGUGAGGACUCAAUUCAACAAAAUAACAGUUUUAUCAACUUGAUAAAGACCUCAUUGUAAGGUUGAAACGUUGUUGCUGUCUUCCUUUAAUAAAUCUGCCUGAGCUGGAA